AACGCAAAUGUAGCAUUAAUGCAUUCUUGAUUUUAGUUUUUGAUGUUUACAUACAUCACACAAGAGCUUAAGCUUGCUUACAGCAAGUGAUAUACCAACACUUCGUAUACUUGAAAUGACUAUUGGCAGGAAAGCAAGUGCCUUAAGUUGAGUAAUGAUUAUAACAUGUCUUCCCAUUUAUGGGAUACAGAGCUCGUCUUCUCUACAAACUUGGAGCGGCAACAGGUUGUACGAAUUCUCAGAACUUUUCAAGGGUUUUCCACUAACUCCACCUAACUGCAACAAAGGCAAUCUAGUACAUUGCAAUGCUUGCAUCCAACUAUCUGACGAUGAUGAGAUCUGCAUGAUGCCGAACACAGAGACACAAAUGUCGUAUCCUGAGAGAUGGCAUCAUUAUGCACAAUUUUCAGCUAAGUACUGGUAUUUUGUACUGUAAAAGUAAAAAUUAAACCCCUCAAUUUAUACUUUGGUAGAAGUCAAUGUAUCGCGUAAAUAUUUUACUCGAGGAAAAAGUAAAAGUAUUGCUGUAAAGCUAUAAAUUUACGUAAGUAAAGGUAUCUUGUUAAAGCUAAUAAGUAGAAGUUUUUCAAAGCACCACAAAAGACGCUUCUCGCAGUUUUUCAUAACAGAUAUCAAUAUAUUUCGUAUGUCAUCUGUAGGACUGUUCAAUAUGGCGGCUUUCCGGCUUCAAAUUCAAUCAGCGAUGCGCGAUAGAUGAAUGUGAAAAAGUGUAAAUUUAAAUGUGAAUUUAAUCAAACGCAGAAAACGAAUGAAUUUAUUUCGCUUUUGAAUAUUGUACGAAAUACAAAUAUUACUGGAAACUUCCAAUUCUAAAUCGGGUGAAAUAUGA
Long non-coding RNA from Xenia sp. Carnegie-2017, 850 nucleotides. RefSeq lists it as uncharacterized. The transcript is spliced from 2 exons. Lineage: Eukaryota; Metazoa; Cnidaria; Anthozoa; Malacalcyonacea; Xeniidae. The record is from RefSeq and is a predicted model, not a curated record.